GAUGAACGCUAGCGGGAGGCUUAACACAUGCAAGUCGAGGGGCAGCACGAUGUAGCAAUACGUUGGUGGCGACCGGCGCACGGGUGAGUAACACGUAUGCAACCUACCCUGUACAGGGGGAUAACCCGGAGAAAUUCGGACUAAUAUCCCAUGGACCCUUAGCCCCGCAUGGGGCGGAGGGUAAAGCUCCGGCGGGAAUGGAUGGGCAUGCGUGCCAUUAGCUGGUUGGUGGGGUAACGGCCCACCAAGGCUACGAUGGCUAGGGGGUCUGGGAGGAUGAUCCCCCACACUGGUACUGAGACACGGACCAGACUCCUACGGGAGGCAGCAGUG
RNAcentral lists this ribosomal RNA (333 nucleotides) under uncultured bacterium. RNAcentral's name for it is "bacterial SSU rRNA". It matches the Rfam family "Bacterial small subunit ribosomal RNA", at positions 28 to 356 of the family's 1533-position model. The record is from RNAcentral.